Molecule: ribosomal RNA, 439 nt
Filed under: uncultured Acholeplasma sp.
Lineage: Bacteria; Bacillati; Mycoplasmatota; Mollicutes; Acholeplasmatales; Acholeplasmataceae
Description: bacterial SSU rRNA
Rfam family: Bacterial small subunit ribosomal RNA
Source: RNAcentral
UCAUGUUGUUUAAUUCGAUGAUACGCGAAGAACCUUACCAGGUCUUGACAUCCCCCGCGAUGCUUUAGAGAUAAAGCGGAGGUAUUCGGGGAGACAGGUGGUGCAUGGUUGUCGUCAGCUCGUGUCGUGAGAUGUGGGUUAAGUCCCGCAACGAGCGCAACCCCUAUUGCUAGUUACCAUCAUUAAGUUGGGGACUCUAGCGAGACUGCCAGUGAUAAACUGGAGGAAGGUGGGGAUGACGUCAAAUCAUCAUGCCCCUUAUGACCUGGGCUACAAACGUGAUACAAUGGCUGGAACAAAGGGAUGCGAAGCAGUGAUGUGGAGCGAAACCCAUAAAAACAGUCUCAGUUCGGAUUGAAGUCUGCAACUCGACUUCAUGAAGUCGGAAUCGCUAGUAAUCGCGGAUCAGAACGCCGCGGUGAAUACGUUCUCGGGGUUU